AUGAAUCCAGCUUGUGUCAAAUUGGCAAAUGCUACCCAGAACAGCACCCUAAUCCUGCAGAGUUGGGUUGCUUAUUCUCAGCCGCAUCCCUGAGCAUCCCUGCUUUUAUUUCUUAUCAUUGCCUGAUUCUAUGUUCAAAAUGCCUCCAAAGUGCCAACCUGGGACUGUGCAGGUGCCACAAACUCCUCAUAGUUUGAUCUCUGUGCCUAUCAAUUUUUGCAAUGCUGGAAUGGGAGCCAAGUCGAGAACACAUUAGUCUAGCAUUCUACCUGAGCACUGAGCUAGACCCAUAGCACUUACCAUUUUUAUUUAAGGGAAGGAUUCUUGGAACAGUAGAAUAGAAAUCUCUACUGGUACUCCCACCACAUGCAUGGUGUCUUCUCCUAUGACUUUUGCCCAUUUUAUGUGAAACAAAGACCACAGCCUAGGCUUUAUUCAGGAAGGAAAGCAGAAACCAAAAGCCUUCCCCAGGAUGGAGAAUUCUCAGGAGGAAGAGCACACAGGUGUGGGUCCAGCCCAUCAGGGAGUAGGUUUGUUCACAUACAGAGUUGGCCGGAACCAGCCACCCACUGCUCUUGGCUUUCAAAGGGAACAGUGUGUGCCUGGCAUCCAGAUGCCCCCUGUGAACAGCGAAGAGGCACUGAUGGAUGGCUGUGCCACAAUGAGAAAUGGAUCAAUGUAUCAUCUCACCCAGUAUUGGCAUUCUCACUGAGAAAGGAGGCACAGCAGAGGUCUUACGCAUGGAUUCCAGCUUUGCCUGUUGGGAGGACCUUCCCUCAUAGAUAAUAGGAUUGCAGCCUCACCUCUCUUGGAGUCCCUUCCUAUCAUAGCAUGUGGAUGGGGGUGGUGUGGGCAUCUUCCCCAGAAGGCCUCAGUUGAGAUCAAAGAGACCUUGCGUAUCCAUUUGAGCCUACUGCUGUGGCAACGACUUGCUGGGAUUCACGUAGUAAUGUGUGAGGCUCUGACAGCACUGAGAUCUGCCUUUAUAGUCUUUAGGUUUGUUUUCCUGAAUGAAUAGGUUGACCAGUGCCCAAAAGCAGAGCUCAUGCAACAUUCCACUGCUGCUGGGUUCAGCUCAAAGCAGACCCCACACCACUGGCUAAUGGAAGACUGUGCUGCAGAGGUGGUAGAGAGCCCUGCCUAGAAAGACUGAAGUCUUGAGAGUUCCUAUUGUUCUUGGGGUUCUCAGAAGAACCAAAUGCCCCUGAACUCACCUUGGCUCCUGUUUCCAAGUCUCACUGGAACCCAGGAACUCAGGUCCCUCAAGCCUGUAGCACUAACUGUGCCUGUCUGCAUCCCUACUUGCGAUACUCUUCUGCCUGCAGGUCCAUUCACUCACUACCACAAAUACCCACAUCCUGAACAUAGCCGGUGAACCUUGUCUUGCUUUCUGCCUGUGGGUGGAGCUGGCUUCCCACAGCUGCCUCCAUCAGUCAGCUCAGCACGGACAGCCAGCGGGUGCUCCUCUAAUCAGAGCCACAAAACUUCUCCCUCUUACUUGGCUUCCCAUGACAUGCAGCUCACCAGAAGCUGGGUUACAUGUGUCUAGUGGCUAUACCUCCCCCAACCUCCAUCUCACCCCAUCGGUCCAUCUGCUUUAUGUCAAGUACUAUGCUGGCAGUGGGAUGAAGGGAGGCUGGAGUCAUUGGAAGCAUCCUCCUGGAGCCACGUCUUGUGGACAACAGACCUGGGAUCAGCAAAUGGAGAAUGCCUUCUUUCCAGCCAUAUAAAGGAUACACUUCAGAGAAGGGCCUUACAGAAGGGCUUUCUUGUUUAUCUUUCAGGGCCUGUGACAGGGUACCCUCACACAGCUGCUGGCCUAACUAGACCUACUGGGGAACAGAAAGUAGAGUUUCUCAGUAGCAGGGGUAGCUUUUGAGUUAGGCUGCGCCAUGCACAUGAGGCCUAGAAAGACACCGUAGAGCACAGGGAUCCCAUUGGAGCUUUCGGUGAGGACCAUGACAAUGACAAAGGAUUCCGAGCUUGAAGGAUGUAAAAUUCAAGAAUCUAUGCAGGAUCUAACUGGAAGAAGCAUCUUUUAGUCCCAUCUGCACCUUCUGGGAGUGCUGCCUCCCCGGCUGCAUGGGGUCCUUGGCCAUGCUGGUCACUCUGGUAGGCUUGCCCAUUCUUUCUACCAUGUCCUAGGGACCUCCUAUUCUGUCUCUGUGCAUAGAUGUGCAGAAGGUCCCUGGGACUUGAACAAACUUCCCCUUCAUCAGCUAGUUACCUUCCCAGAGCUCCAUCUCUCAUACCAUAACGAGACAGAAACAUGAGUUCCUGAGGUACACAGACCGAACAUUAUGUCUCCCCUGCCUCUCACCAGCAAUAGUUGUCCCUGACUCCUCUCCUGAGUUCUUCACCAUGGUUCUUCCUUCUAGGUGACCCAAGAGCUGGUAUUGAAUAAGGCUCAUUUUAUUAGGGACCAACACCACCAACCAAAAACCAUAUCGCACCAGAGAAGGGAGUAUGACGUCACAUGGUAAGUGGCUACGAGUGAUGCCUCUGAGAAUGGCAGGCUUCACAGUGGGGGAGAUAAAGGGAGGUAUUUUGCUUAGGGGAUGCAAGCAGUGGGGCUAUAGAAUGUGAAAUAUUAGUAUUUUUUGUUGUUGCUGUUGUCCUUGUAUAAUUGAUCUUUUAUACCCAAUGUGAUGAGACUGGAUAGACUUUACUUUGUGGCCAGUUAGCCCAUUGACGUGGUACAAAGAUGGUUUUGAGCCACGUGUCUGCAGUCAUUCUGGUUGGUGAGAUACCUGAUGUUAGAGUAGUAGGUCAGAUUCAAAGCCCAAGUAGUACAGUGUUAUCAUGACUGAUGGGAAUGUGUUUUGCAUAGACCCUUGGCAAAUGCUGCCAUGCAGGAUAAGCUUCUCCAUUGUCGGAGGUGAUUAGUCAUGGCUUCACUGUAGCGCAUGUUUAUCUCUCUGUAUGCUGAUUUGGACAAUGGUGGCGUCAGUGUCCCUGCAUGUCUCCAGCUUCUCUAACUGCUGUGGUUUCAGGUUGACCACACAUUUGGUAUGCAGAUGUACAUGAGUAGCCUCUGCCACUGCUUGCACACCUUUGACUGGGCAGGAGAAGACCAUGAGCUCAGGUCUCCUGUCUGCAUCCAGCCCCACACCUGAGCAGCCCUAGGAUGUGAUCUUGCACAGAGGAAGCCAGGUUUAACACAUCACAGGAAGAUGACUGGAGUUCAAGUGGUCCUCUAGUCCUUUGAUGCUGCCUGGCCAAGGCUGUGCCCGGUCUGUGCCUUCUUUUUUCCCAUCAUGAGGGUCAUCCCUGCUCUCACCUGACACCACACCAUACACUCGCUGUAUCCCCUGUAUCUGGCCUCCUUGUAGACUCCUGCCCAACGGUUGAUUCAGCACUGGCCUUUGCUCCCAGGUGAGCAGCCCAUGCUAGUGCCCAAGUCUGAGCUGAUUUCAUUGAGCCUAUGGGGUGCCAGUGUAUGGUGGUUCUGGUCUUGGCACUUUGGGUGUGUGUGUAUGUGCCAUUGAUGGGUUGGUGAGAAGCCUUCCAUCGAUUGGCAGAGGGAGACCAAUAGGAUUCUACUCCUAACAUCACUGUCUUUCUGUGUGAGCACUGGGUCACAAGUGCUGGUGGUGCCAUGUAUCUGAGAGAUGAAGCCAGGCAGCAGUGAACAAGUGUGUCCACAGGAAGAUGAUAGAUCCAAGUGCAGUGCCAUGAGCUGGUGUGGCUUGCAGGCUAUAGAAAUCAACAAAUGCCACAUCCAUCAAGUGACUCUAUAGUAGUCAUCAUGUGAGGGUUCUUUAUAACAAACUUCAUGUGGAAGGCUUCAUUAUCCCCACCUUACAGAUGGGAAUACCGAGGCUCAGUGAUGUACUCAGUGUCACAAAAGCAUUAGCAGCAAUCAGGACUCACACAUUCUCUUUUGGCUCACUUAUGCGCUCUUCCUACUUUAUUUCUGUUUGACCCACAGAGACAAAAAUGGGCAGUCUUCAUAAGCAGCAGCAGUUCAUGCUAAUCAUGAAUGCCAACUUGACAUGCUUGGGAAGAGGGACCCUCGCUUAAUGAUUGCCUCUGUCAGAUUGGUUCAUGAGUGUGUCUGUGGGGCAUUUUCUUGAUUGUUGAUUGACACAGGACCAUCCAGCUUACCCUGGGUGUCACCCCUAGGCAGGUGAGCCUAGAAGCAAGCCAGUAAGCAGUGUUUCUCUAUGGUUUUGGCUCCACGUUCUUGCCUUAUGCAGACCAGGAAGCAUGAAAGAGCUUGCUUUUACAGCAAAGCUCUUCCUUGCCCCAAAUCUAACCUAUUUUCCCUCAGUUGAGCUCAGAGCCCUCAGGAUCCAGUCACCUCCCCAAAGCCCCACCUGUGCCCCCUGAUGAACUGGGAAUCCAGCCUAUAACAGGGGAGUUCUUAGAGGACAAACAUUUCAGAGCCAAAUCCUAAGAGAAGCCCCAGAGAAUUGUGGGAACUCAUGGGAUUCUGUCUGGGAACAUAACAAAAUGGCCUCCGAUGCUGAGAAAUCUUGAAGCCUCAUUCGUUGGGAUAUGCAUUCCAUGGCAGAGAAACUUGCCACUUCUUCCUCUCUGGAGAAAUAGCGUUUUGGUACUCUGGAGCUGGUGUUUGAAGCCCCACCUUCCAAGUGGGAGGAGCAACUGGGUAGGUGGAGGAAGGGUAGGAGCACUAGCUAGGGUACAACAAGGGUAGCAGCAGGUGAGGAAGAGCUGGUUUGUUUUUCCCAAAGACUUCUCUCUGACUCUGCCAUGGGAAGACAAGGGUGGGCUUUGUGACAUCCAAGGUCAUUGUGGGGAUGGUUAUGAUCACCCUGACAGCAUUUGAGCACCUACCCAACUCUAGGGAUUUGAAAGUAUCUUCAGUGGCCUGUUGUCUACCCCACAGCAGUGAGAGGCUGGCCUAAGCCUGCUCUCUGCUUCCACCUAGUAUCAAGUAGUCCAUCAAUGGGGCAGUGAGUUUUAUAGGUCUUUACUAUAAGCCUCCUCUCUGGUAAAUACAAAACUCAAGGAAAACAACAAGUGUUUGGACUUUGCUGAGGACACAGUUAAUAUUUGCAUCAGAGGACCAUCAACACAUGGAAAAGGUGCUAAUCCAGGCAGUCCACCUGAGUACAGAGGAGGAGGAGCGCUGAAUGACUGAAAACUGCCUCUUCUUACUACAAGCAGAAUGUCCUUCCUUGACUGCGUUCUUCCGCCUGGGCAGGAUGCCUGUCUUGAAGAGUCCUUUAAUUUAUCAGUGAAGGUUCUAUUCUUGGAGCUUUAUUUCAGAUGAAGACUUGCUGCCUUAGCCAUCUCUGUGGAAAUGGGGCCAAGAAGACCUGUGGACAGCAGCGCCUAAUGCAUCUUUGGGAAUGCUUCAUCUGCCCAACAUUGUGGAACAAGAGGACGUGCUAUACAGAAGACUUUCUCAAAUAGCUAGCAUUUGCCAACUUGAGCUGCAAAGCACAGAUACACAAGCCAAUUCUGAUAGACUCAGAAAUACUUGCAAGCAUUUCUAAGGGUCUCAGAACUGUUGACAUUUCUUUCUCACUGGACCAAGGACUCUACCGACACCAAGUACCAGAUGCAGAACUGAAGCCCUAGGCUGUACCUGUAGGUCAUGGAGGAGCACCUGCUCGAACUGUUCACUAAGAGUCAACAAAGAUGAGAGCCAUCUAGAACAUUCCUCACAAGGUCUGAGGGAAUAGUUGAGGCCAUCUGGCAUGUGUCCUUGCUCAUGAAGAUAUAUGAGAAUGACAGAGGCCAGGCCUGAGGAAGAUGGUGGAUGCUAGAGAGAGUGGACAGCAACUGGAUGGAAAGUGGAAGACUGAUGUGCAACCCUGAGUCCUAAUCAGCUGGCUCAGAGCCCCUGUGAGCAGACAUUGUGCUAUAAAGAACCCUAAUCUAUUGCAGGAUUUCACAGAAACAGAACAAUGGCUGUCACAUGCUGUUGAGGGAGCACAGCAUCCUCUCUUCAAGAUCAGAAGACUGUAGCAGGGAAGCACUGUGGGUACCUCCUGCACACUGUGACAUCAAGGUCGCUGUGAUCCAGGAACAUUGUGGUGACAGUGACAUGCUCAAGGUCGCUGAGCCCAGUGUGAGGCUAGGAGGAAAGCCCCCUCCUUCCUGGGGAGCAACGCUCAUGAAAGGCGUGCAUUUUGCUCUUAGAUUUUAAAGCUCCCUUUACCUGCUGUGACACGUACUCAUGGGCCAGGAAGAGCUCUGUGUUUCUAGCCGUUUCCACGCUGUGACAUCGGGACGUGCCCACCUUGCUAAUUGGGGAGGAUUAAAUGGAGCAGCGAUCACAGAGCCUGCAGCAGCACUCUCUUCCAGAGCAGGAGCUGACAGCAGCCUUCCUCUUCCUGCAGGCAUGGCCCCGCAGAGCCUGCCUCCCUCACAAAGGCAAGAGGCCACACUGCUGAGGAAUGGUGUCUUCCCACCUGCAGAUUUCUGCUUCUCCCAGCCCUGAAUAGCUCAAGUAGGCUGUGACCUCGGCAAGCACCCUUGAGAGAGUCUCGAGGCGCCUUGAGAAAUUGCACAAGAGGCGCUCUGCAUCUGGGCUGGAUCUAUUAUUCAUGCAAGCAUGUUUCAGCUAGCUGGGUAAUUUAGAGUCUCUCAGAGAGUGCUCUCUGCAGCAGCCAUAAACCACGUUCCCAGUGCUCCAGGGGAAAAUUACCUUUCCAUUGCUCCAGCUAGGGGUCAUAUCAGAGACUUCACCCAGGGAAGUGAGGGCUGAGGAGGGGCUGAGACAGUCCAAGGCUCAAGGGCCCUCCAGAGCCUUCACUCGGGACAUCUCCACCUGUCACUUCCCAGAUGACCUCUGGAGCUUCAGCCCUCUCACUGCGAAAUGAAUGCUGACUGCAGAUGCCUGGCAGCUAGGCUGGUGCAGGAGCAGCCCAGCCCCCACCCCUCCACUCUGAGCUGCAACUGAUCUGCUGCCUCUGGCAUCAGCUCCACAGGGGUCGUGAACGCCUGUCUUCCUGACUAGGAACCCAGGACGCUGGAGGCACGGGGCGCAGCACACGGAAGCAGGCAUUCACUGUGUGCACGUUUUCCUUAUCUCCAUAAAGCUGCAGUCUUUGCUGUCUUCCCAAAUGACACUAAAUACAGAUGCACAGGUUCUCCCACCCCGCCCCCCUCCCAGAACACCAACAGGAACACACGCCACUCACACAUACUAAGGAGGAGGGAUGCAUGCAAAGAGCAUCAACAUCCGUUUUCAGACACUAGACACAGGAUGAGAACCCGAGGCCAGGGCUGGCUACAGACAUUAUUUUUAGCCGUGAGACUGUAGCACAUGUGGUGUGGCUGCUUCCCCCUCUACUGCAGAGACACUCUCAAUUCAUCCCACAAAGUCUGGCUGUUCUACAGGGCAGCAUCUCCACCAACCCCACCCAGCAGACAUGCUGCUAGGCAGGAGUCUGGUGAGGCUUCAGGGUCCCUGGGUCCGGGGAAGUCCCUGCCCGGCAUACCGCUCGCAUGACUUGGGCUCUCCAGGGUAUUCCUCAUUCGGUAGGCCUAGCUGCUUGCAUUUCAUCCUCUUCCUCAGAGCCCAGAUGUGACACUUCCUCAGGCUCUCCUGUGCUCAUGGUUGUCGGCUGGUGACAAGGGCAUCUGUGCGGAUGCAGACCCCGAGGUGAGAGGAAAGAUGGCUGUGAGCUGAACACCUGCAGUCCCAGUGGGCCAGCGCCGCCACCUUAGGUGUCAAGUGGAGUUGGGGAUGUGACUCAUAGGCUGACAUGGAGUUGGGCUCUUGCUGAGUUCCUGCCAGAUUCGUGGCCCCCAAAUCAUAGUCCUGUCACUGUGGGGAAUGGUGAUGUUCCCCUGGGGGUGGGGGGAGCAGAGUGACAACCCAAACCUCAUCCUUUAAUUUCCCAGGGCCUUUGUUUUCUCUAUCUCC
This 7846-nucleotide small RNA is filed under the name Rattus norvegicus (Norway rat). RNAcentral's name for it is "uncharacterized LOC102555048". Lineage: Eukaryota; Metazoa; Chordata; Mammalia; Rodentia; Muridae. The record is from RNAcentral.